AUACGUAGGUGGCACGCGUUGUCCGGAUUUACUGGGUGUAAAGGGCGUGUAGGCGGAGAUGCAAGUCAGGAGUGAAAUCUAGGGGCUCAACCCCUAAACUGCUUUUGAAACUGUCUCCCUUGAGUAUCGGUGAGGCAGGCGGAAUUCCUUUGUUAUCGGUGAAAUGCGUAGAUAUUAGGAUGAACACCAGUGGCGAAGGCGGCCUGAUGGACGACAACUGACGCUGAGGAGCGAAAGCGUGGGGAGCAAACAGGAGUAGAUACCCUGGUAGUCCACGCUGUAAACGAUGAAUACUAGGUGUGGGGGGACUGACCCCCUCCGUGCCGCAGUUAACACAAUAAGUAUUCCACCUGGGGAGUACGAUCGCAAGAUUGAAACUCAAAUGAAUUGACGGGG
RNAcentral lists this ribosomal RNA (396 nucleotides) under uncultured bacterium. RNAcentral describes it as "partial 16S ribosomal RNA". It matches the Rfam family "Bacterial small subunit ribosomal RNA", at positions 523 to 918 of the family's 1533-position model. The record is from RNAcentral.